UUAGUGUGUUAGAGGUCAUGUGUUCAAAUUCUUGCGCGAGCGUGGAUGUUAUUUUUGUUUCGGUUGGCUGAGAGAGUUUGAGUGGUCUUGAAAUUCUGAGGUGGAGUUGUUAGUGGGGUGCUGGGAUUGUGAUCAAAUUUUUAUUUUGUUUUAUUUUUUUUUCAAAUUUUCUCUCUCUUCUAAAAGAAAGUCUGAUGUCAGUUUUGUUAUCCCUAUUUUCUAUAUUUUCGUCCUUUCUCCCUUUUACUAUCUCUUCCUAUUCUAUUCAAACUGUCAUCAAAUCUUUACAUGUUAGGAUUUCCGUCUUCUUU
This 311-nucleotide long non-coding RNA is filed under the name Gossypium raimondii (Peruvian cotton). Its description in RNAcentral is "long non-coding RNA (GRAI_LNC002290)". The record is from RNAcentral. Lineage: Eukaryota; Viridiplantae; Streptophyta; Magnoliopsida; Malvales; Malvaceae.